UCUUAGUGGCGGACGGGUGAGUAACGCGUGGGUAACCUGCCUUGCACUGGGGGAUAACACUUAGAAAUAGGUGCUAAUACCGCAUAAGCGCACGGUCCUGCAUGGGACAGUGUGAAAAACUCCGGUGGUGCAAGAUGGACCCGCGUCUGAUUAGCUGGUUGGCGGGGUAAAGGCCCACCAAGGCGACGAUCAGUAGCCGGCCUGAGAGGGUGGACGGCCACAUUGGGACUGAGACACGGCCCAAACUCCUACGGAAGGCAGCAG
Molecule: ribosomal RNA, 264 nt
Filed under: uncultured bacterium
Lineage: Bacteria
Description: partial 16S ribosomal RNA
Rfam family: Bacterial small subunit ribosomal RNA
Source: RNAcentral